Molecule: long non-coding RNA, 1280 nt
Filed under: Mytilus galloprovincialis (Mediterranean mussel)
Lineage: Eukaryota; Metazoa; Mollusca; Bivalvia; Mytilida; Mytilidae
Source: RNAcentral
ACUAAACUUAUACAAGUUUUGAAAAGAUGAUUAACCAAAACAAAAAGUACUAAAGACAAAAACAGAGAUUAUAGCUAACAUCAGGAAAAUACAUUCCUUAAUUCAUAUGAUCAUAAAAAUCUUCAAAUAAAUACAGUAAACACAGUAUAAAAAGCAAAAAUAAAGACUGAGAAACACACCCCAAACGAGUCUAUGGGUGAUCUCCGAUGAUCUGGAAGUGAAGGCAGUUCCCUAUUUAUAUAUAAAAUAUUUUAAACCCGAAUUCUAUAUUUUCCGUUCUUUACCUAAUUUUCACACUUAACAGAAGUCGCUUUUAACUUAAAUGAAAUGUUUUCACCAAAGUUUUUCAAAUUGAUUUGUAUUGAUUUCUGAAGACGAAAUCCCCCCUCCCAAACAAUUAAAUAGCUUUGAAUUCUGUGACAUCACACUUAUCAGCAUUUCGGACUAGGGUCUCAAGUCAAACAAAAGAAUGUGAAUGAACUUACAACGAAUAAGAAAACAUAUAUUUCCAUAUAAACUACAUGGAAUUAAGUACACAUGUCAAUGUAAGAAAGUAAAAAUACAUAUUGAGGAUGAUAGAGUUUCUCUGCUGAUAUAUAAUAAGUCAAACGAAGUGUUACAUCCAUAAUUUGAUAUUAUAGUUUCUCUAAUUCUAUGGAAAUAUAUCCCUUUCCGAACCAAUUGUAUAAAAAUAUUUAAUCAACGUGUGGUUGCCGGUGAUCUCAGAAGAUGAUUGGCUGAGUCAAAGGGUCAUAACCUUUCUCAGCUCCCUGAAUUUAACAAAAUGUUCUGACAGGUGUUAAUUAAAUUGACAACUUUGUGGAAAGUGGAAGGCACUCGAAGGGGAUUUUGGUUUAGAAAUUUAUCAUUUAAUCAUUAGAGAAACAGAUUAUUACAUAGUAACGCGUGGAUUAUCGGAUUUAUCCUAUCACGAUAGUUGAAUUAUAAAUUUUAAAGUCCUCGCCGAGGUUCGGACUUUAAAAUAGAUAAUUUAACUAUCUCGAUUGGAUAAAUCUGAUAAUCCACUUAUAUCAAUGUAAUAAUCAGUAUAUAAAUGCUUGUUUAAGACUAAGAUAAGAACAAUUACCAGAAAAUUUAUAAAACCAUGUUUACCCUAAAAUACUUCAGAUUUAGGUACAGAGGUUGGUCAUAACUUUACAGCGUCACUCUUAUCGUCAUGAAAAGGAGGCGAAAGAUACCAAUUUAAAUCAAAUCAUUUUAUUGGUGUAAAAUCCAAAUUUUGGAUUGUUACCAAGACAAACAUGACAAUCAUAACAAAC